This 396-nucleotide ribosomal RNA is filed under the name uncultured bacterium. RNAcentral describes it as "partial 16S ribosomal RNA". It matches the Rfam family "Bacterial small subunit ribosomal RNA", at positions 523 to 918 of the family's 1533-position model. The record is from RNAcentral.
AUACGUAGGGAGCGAGCGUUGUCCGGAAUUACUGGGUGUAAAGGGAGGGUAGGCGGGAGUGCAAGUCAGAUGUGAAAUACAUGGGCUCAACCCAUGGGCUGCAUUUGAAACUGCAUUUCUUGAGUGAAGUAGAGGUAAGCGGAAUUCCUGGUGUAGCGGUGAAAUGCGUAGAUAUCAGGAGGAACACCGGUGGCGAAGGCGGCUUACUGGGCUUUUACUGACGCUGAGGCUCGAAAGCGUGGGGAGCAAACAGGAUUAGAUACCCUGGUAGUCCACGCUGUAAACGAUGAUUACUAGGUGUGGGGGGACUGACCCCUUCCGUGCCGCAGUUAACACAAUAAGUAAUCCACCUGGGGAGUACGGCCGCAAGGUUGAAACUCAAAUGAAUUGACGGGG